This 212-nucleotide unclassified non-coding RNA is filed under the name uncultured fungus. Its description in RNAcentral is "sequence contains ITS1". The record is from RNAcentral. Lineage: Eukaryota; Fungi.
UUGAUUUGUUUUAAAAUCGUUUUCUCAGACUGCACAGUCGACAGAAUUCCGGUACUUCGGCGGGCACGGAUCAGCCGCGAGGCCGACGUCUCCGCAGGGAGACGGCCCACCGAAGCUGCUUGACAGCUUAUGUUUAGACAAGGAUGGGAGCAGAGGGUUUUUUAUGCCCUCUGGACUCGGUAAUGAUCCUUCCGCAGGUUCACCUACGGAAA